CGCGUCUUCCUUGUGGGCAAGGGGGGUCGCGACAACAGAUGAUGCCAAUUUGAGAAUAAGCAUUAGCCCCAGAGACAAGAUAACGUGAGUAGCUAAUCACGAGGAUCUCAUGAGAACUAGACCCCAUCAAAAAGCCUAUGGCAGAAAAAAAAUUAUUUUUCAUAGUAACACCUGUUCUCUGACUAAGGUAUAUAACUGCCCCUGCCAAGCAUCUAGGAUCAUUGUCCAAGAUGGCACACCUAUCAUAACUCAGUAACUUAGUAAUAAAAGAAAACAGGGAGAAAGUAAAUGAACAUAAUUAUAGAGUUUACCAAAGUUCUGUUUAAAUCCAUUAAGUGAAAAAAAAAAACAAGCAGCAUUGAAAUCUACCUGAAGAAUCAGAAGAUUGUUACUGCAUUGCUGUGUUUUACAGAAUGUAAACAGUACAAAAGACUGUAGGGACAGUUUAUGAUUGAGUGUAGUCACUGAUGUCCAUCAAAAGAAGUUCUCAACAAUACUUUCUCCUCUUUUGUGAGCUUCUGAGAAGAAUUGCAGCAUGCAGGCAGCUGCCCAUGGGUGAAGAAAGGAGGAAUUUGCAGAGAUGGAGUUCCAGCUUUUUGUCUGCUUAACUCAAUGUUCUGACCCAGGUUGUGGAAUCCCAAGUCUUGGCUCAAAGUGAUUAAGAUCAAAAGUGUUAAGGACAUCUGAAGGAAAGCCAUGAGUUGGUAUCCAUGGCACAGCUAAGAAGGAAAGAUUUCAACGGAUGCAAUAUAUACCAGUGUUCACAGGUUAUGCAAGGAAGAAGCUGGUGAAGAGAUUUCUCCUGCUUGGACAGAUGGUAAAAGAGCUAGGAAUAGUGUGGGUGUUCAUGCCCUCCCAGUACAUUUGGCCUGCCUCUGUGUUCCCCUGCAACUGAGCUAGGUAUUGUCAAGGACCCACAUCUCUCUCCUCUGACUGAGUGCUUUCUUUUGCAUGGGGGAGCUUAGUCAGUACUCUUAAAGAACGUUCAAAACUCGACCGAUGACUAAUGAGGGUUGGUGGAUGAAUACCCGGGUUUCUCAUGGACUGAUGGGAUAAUUCUAGGUACUACAAACCUCUGAGAAGACGCUGGAAGAAUGGAAUCACAAUUCCAUAUGUGAUCGUAUAUUCACAAAUACCCCACCAGCCUUUGUGACUCUUCUGCUAAUCUCAUGUGCACUUCCUAGAAUCGAUUCCUAAACAAACCACCAGAACCCAAGCCCUUUGUUGCAGGGUCUACUUUGGAGGAAACCCAACCUAACACAACAGGCUUUGGAAUCAGAUAAAUCCUAAUUCUCCUUGAAUCAUUUAGUAGUUGCCUGGCCUUGAACAAGUAGCUUCUUUUUAGAGUUCAGUGUCCUUGUCUGCAGAAUGUGGGUGAUUGUAGCUCGACUUAUUUCAUAGGACUAUGUUGAAGAUUAAAGAAGAUGUAAACCACAGAGCACCUGGUGUUUGAUAGUUCAUAAAUAAAUGCUGGCCAUUCUGAUUGUGAUUUUUCUUUUUAUUUAUUUAUUUAUUUAGGCACAGGGUAACCCAGCAGUAUUUAUCCGUUGAGC
Molecule: long non-coding RNA, 1553 nt
Organism: Ictidomys tridecemlineatus (thirteen-lined ground squirrel)
Lineage: Eukaryota; Metazoa; Chordata; Mammalia; Rodentia; Sciuridae
Source: Ensembl